RNAcentral lists this ribosomal RNA (372 nucleotides) under uncultured bacterium. RNAcentral describes it as "bacterial SSU rRNA". It matches the Rfam family "Bacterial small subunit ribosomal RNA", at positions 29 to 421 of the family's 1533-position model. The record is from RNAcentral.
AAUGAACGUUGGCGGCGUGGAUUAGGCAUGCGAGUCGCGCGAGAAUGUAGCAAUACAGGAAAGCGGCGAAAGGGAGAGGACAACAUGGGAAUCUGCCCGGGGACGAGGAUAGCGUCGGAAACUGACGGUAAUACUCGAUAAUGUUUGCGGACCAAAGGUGAGAUUCCGCCCCUGGAUGAGCCCAUGCCCCAUUAGCUUGUUGGCGGUGUAAUAGACCACCAAGGCGAUGAUGGGUAGCUGGUGUGAGAGCACGACCAGCCUCACUGGCACUGAGACACUGGCCAGAUACCUACGGGUGGCUGCAGUCGAGAAUCUUCGGCAAUGGACGAAAGUCUGACCGAGCGACGCCGCGUGCGGGACGAAGGCCUUCGG